UACGUAGGUGGCGAGCGUUGUCCGGAUUUACUGGGCGUAAAGAGCGCGCAGGCGGUCGUACAAGUCGCGUGUGAAAGCCCCCGGCUCAACUGGGGAGGGUCAUUCGAUACUGAUCGACUCGAAGGCAGGAGAGGGUAGUGGAAUUCCCGGUGUAGUGGUGAAAUGCGUAGAUAUCGGGAGGAACACCAGUGGCGAAGGCGACUACCUGGCCUGUUCUUGACGCUGAGGCGCGAAAGCUAGGGGAGCAAACGGG
This 253-nucleotide ribosomal RNA is filed under the name uncultured bacterium. RNAcentral's name for it is "partial 16S ribosomal RNA". It matches the Rfam family "Bacterial small subunit ribosomal RNA", at positions 524 to 776 of the family's 1533-position model. The record is from RNAcentral.